Phrynosoma platyrhinos (Desert horned lizard) is the source of this 73-nucleotide non-coding RNA. NCBI's taxonomy places the organism in Eukaryota, Metazoa, Chordata, Lepidosauria, Squamata, Phrynosomatidae. The record is from the annotation of a GenBank genome assembly.
GUCAGCAUGGUGCAGUGGUUUGAGUGUUGGGCUACAAUUCCAUAAGUCCAGGGUUCAAAUCCCUGAUCAACCA